UGGGGAAUAUUGGACAAUGGGCGGAAGCCUGAUCCAGCCAUGCCGCAUGUGUGAAGAAGGCCUUUUGGUUGUAAAGCACUUUAAGCGAGGAGGAGGCUACUUGGAUUAAUACUCUAGGAUAGUGGACGUUACUCGCAGAAUAAGCACCGGCUAACUCUGUGCCAGCAGCCGCGGUAAUACAGAGGGUGCGAGCGUUAAUCGGAUUUACUGGGCGUAAAGCGUGCGUAGGCGGCUUCUUAAGUCGGAUGUGAAAUCCCUGAGCUUAACUUAGGAAUUGCAUUCGAUACUGGGAAGCUAGAGUAUGGGAGAGGAUGGUAGAAUUCCAGGUGUAGCGGUGAAAUGCGUAGAGAUCUGGAGGAAUACCGAUGGCGAAGGCAGCCAUCUGGCCUAAUACUGACGCUGAGGUACGAAAGCAUGGGGAGCAAACAGG
RNAcentral lists this ribosomal RNA (430 nucleotides) under bacterium. RNAcentral describes it as "partial 16S ribosomal RNA". It matches the Rfam family "Bacterial small subunit ribosomal RNA", at positions 355 to 776 of the family's 1533-position model. The record is from RNAcentral.